This 498-nucleotide ribosomal RNA is filed under the name uncultured bacterium. RNAcentral's name for it is "partial 16S ribosomal RNA". It matches the Rfam family "Bacterial small subunit ribosomal RNA", at positions 30 to 523 of the family's 1533-position model. The record is from RNAcentral.
AUUGAACGCUGGCGGCAUGCCUUACACAUGCAAGUCGAACGGUAACAGGUCUUCGGAUGCUGACGAGUGGCGAACGGGUGAGUAAUACAUCGGAACGUGCCUAGUAGUGGGGGAUAACUACUCGAAAGAGUGGCUAAUACCGCAUGAGAUCUACGGAUGAAAGCAGGGGAUCGCAAGACCUUGUGCUACUAGAGCGGCCGAUGGCAGAUUAGGUAGUUGGUGGGAUAAAAGCUUACCAAGCCGACGAUCUGUAGCUGGUCUGAGAGGACGAUCAGCCACACUGGGACGGGGACAAGGCCCAGACUCCUACGGGAGGAAGCAGUGGGGAAUUGUGGACAAUGGGCGCAAGCCUGAUCCAGCAAUGCCGCGUGCAGGAUGAAGGCCUUCGGGUUGUAAACUGCUUUUGUACGGAACGAAAAGCCCCGGGUUAAUACCCUGGGGUCAUGACGGUACCGUAAGAAUAAGCACCGGCUAACUACGUGCCAGCCGCCGCCGUAA